RNAcentral lists this long non-coding RNA (548 nucleotides) under Populus tremula. Its description in RNAcentral is "long non-coding RNA (PTRE_LNC000946)". Lineage: Eukaryota; Viridiplantae; Streptophyta; Magnoliopsida; Malpighiales; Salicaceae. The record is from RNAcentral.
CGAAGCCACACAAAUGCUCUCCCUUCUCCUCCAAAACCGAACAGCCCCUUCCCCGGAUUGAUUUUUUUUUUUGCGCCCGAGACCCCCAUCUCACUUUCCCUCCCACACGGUUUCAAUCUCCAUUUUCGCCAAAACACAAACCAGGCCACACCCAUCCGCAGCCUCCCUCUCUCGGUUCUCCCAGAAACAGAGGUCGUUUGUUGCCUCCAUAGUCCCAGCCAUUUCCAGCCACACCCAGCUCACUGUCUCCAGCAGUCUUCGUCAUCUCCUUCGGCGCCGUCUCCAGCUCCUCCACCAAACGCAGCGGCGGCCCCGCCGUCUUCUUCAUCUCCUUCCAACCGCCUAGCAGUUCCUUUCUCCUCCGAUCUCCAUGCCCGGCCACAAACCCACCAACUGCCCGAUCUAGCACCGGAGGAGGAGAGAAAAUAAAAAUGAGCAGACCCGAAACGGGCAGAAGAAAAAAAUUAAAAACAGAUCUAAAAAAUUGAAAUCAUCCCGCUUGGUUUGCGUUUUUGUUGUGUGUUUUCAGGUGGUUUUGUUUCCCACCG